RNAcentral lists this ribosomal RNA (253 nucleotides) under uncultured bacterium. Its description in RNAcentral is "partial 16S ribosomal RNA". It matches the Rfam family "Bacterial small subunit ribosomal RNA", at positions 524 to 776 of the family's 1533-position model. The record is from RNAcentral.
UACGUAGGGUGCGAGCGUUGUCCGGAAUCACUGGGCGUAAAGGGCGCGUAGGCGGUUCGUUAAGUUGCUGGUGAAAUCCCGGGGCUCAACUCCGGGGCUGCCAGUAAGACUGGCGGGCUAGAGCACGGUAGAGGCGGAUGGAAUUCCCGGUGUAGCGGUGGAAUGCGUAGAUAUCGGGAAGAAUACCGGUGGCGAAGGCGUUCCGCUGGGCCGUUGCUGACGCUGAGGCGCGACAGCGUGGGGAGCAAACAGG